ACGGAUAUUUAGAAAGAUGUUACAAGAAAAUAAUAAAAUUGUUCCUAUAAAAUACAUGAACCACCAAGCAACUUAGGAUAAAGAUAAUGCAGCAUCUGUUUACUAUAAUAUCAACACACGAUAAUUUCAGCUGCUUCCUGUGGUGUCGUGCUAUUUGUCAAAGAACUUAUAAUUAUGAAGGAGAAAGUACGUGUUGCUCCUUUAUAAAUUCAGAUCAAUGACCUGAAAUUGUUUUCUUCAAGUUAAUGAAUGUGUCUUAUGAAUAUGUUGAUACUUAACAGGAUUUCUGCGUUUCACCUGAAAGUUGCUAAUUAACCAUCCGAAUUUCAUGAAGUUGACAAAUAUAAACCAAAUAAUCAAUUUCAAAAUAUAACCUAUAAGGAAAACAUGUUUGCCUAAUGUUCAGUAGCAAAUAUGUUUAAUGAAUAUUGAGGACGAGGGCACUUCUUGAUUUAUUCAGUUUACCACGAUACUGGAUACCAAGACUUGAAAAAACACUUAAAAGAAUGGCACUUUGCCCACUCCUAUGGACUCCCAUGUAUGUUCAAAAACGCAGUCUUGAGACGUAUAUCAUAUUCAAGGUCUUUUGAAUGGAAAGACAGACGGAUGGACGGACUGACAGAUGGA
RNAcentral lists this long non-coding RNA (627 nucleotides) under Mytilus galloprovincialis (Mediterranean mussel). The record is from RNAcentral. Lineage: Eukaryota; Metazoa; Mollusca; Bivalvia; Mytilida; Mytilidae.